Molecule: long non-coding RNA, 3281 nt
Organism: Strigops habroptila (Kakapo)
Lineage: Eukaryota; Metazoa; Chordata; Aves; Psittaciformes; Psittacidae
Source: Ensembl
UUUUUUUUUUUUUUGUUUUCUUUUACCUCAGAUUAAUUUCAAAGUCAAAAAAGUACAAAUAUACUUGAACUUGCUACCAGUGAGAUACCAGUGCCACCAGUGAGCACUUCAAACCAUGCCCUUCCUUCAGACUGAUUUAAUUCAUGUUUUAAGAUGGUAACAUUUACAAAGAAACAAAGACUAAGAAUAUAAAAAAAAGACACAACGUGGGGAUAUUGUGCAGGUAUAACUGGAUUAAGCUGAGAUUUUAACAGCAACAUCAGUGAAUUCAUUGCUUAAAAUCACACUGAAAGUUCUGAUUCCAAAAAUCAAAGGCAUUUGACACCAAACUGCAGUAAUAAUUAUUUUUUCUUUCAAUAAAAUUGUCAGGAACAAUUAACAAUGAAAUACAGAGAGCCUGUGAAUGUCAGCAAACUUGCAGCUACUUUUUUAAAAGAAUUUUGCUUUUAAAGUGUGCUAAUAUACUAAAGGAAAAACCAGAAAGUUUGGGAUGUAAAUGCAGGUAGCCUCUUCAUGGUAAGAAUAAACAGCAGUUUAAUCAGGUUGAAUCAGAUCUCUAUUGAAUCUUACAAAAGAAUAUGUAGGGGUCAUUAAGUCAAACCCUGGAAGCUCUGGGGUUUCAAGAGUACUCAGGUUUAUCAAUAUUACUAAAUCAAGGGGUAAUUCAGGUCAAAAAUAUUUUGUUGCUUCCAGAGCAGAGGCUCAUAGUGAUUAUGUAACAAAAAAAGAUGCAAGUCUUUAAAUAAAUUAUUGUUGGAAUCUUUUACCAUAUCCUGAAUAGGUAAAUAUUUCAAAUAUAGUUGUAUACAUAUUAUUUCCAAUAUCAGACAUUUGAAUUUGAUUGUAAUAAAAUGCUGCUUUCUCAACAUUUUCACAGAAUAAUUUUCCCAACCAGACAUUCCCCCUUCUCCAGAAGAUUGAUAUUUUAGUGAAGAAAAUCUAAACAGAUUUAAAAAACUUUUUUCUUUUCUUUGUCCCCUCAACCAAAAUCUAAUUUAAAUUUAUCUACAUUUUGAAGCAAAGGACCAUGAUUAAAUUGCUUUACACUACGUUUUGAUGUGGCAAAUCUGAGUAUCUGACAGUAAAACUUCUAAUUUUCCCCUCUCUCCUUUUCUCUCUCUCAGUUUGGUCAAUGGAAAAAGCAGAAUGAAUUUCCUUUUCACUUUUAAUCAUGGUCACCUACUUUCACACUGAAGUAUUUCAUGUUCUAGAGCAGUCCCACAAUGUUUCUGUCAAAGACAUCUCUGAGGAUCAUUCAUUUGAUUUUAGUACUUCUCCAGAGGUGCUGGAGUGAAAAAUUCAUUCUGUAAAAUUUAAUUUGUUAGGCACUUAGCUGAUCUUAGAGUGUUAAGGAGGUGGAGUCGCAUGGAGAUACACCUGUUUCCUUCAAUGCAUAGAAGGUGCCUAAAUACCACUAAAGUAGGUAUCUCAGUUACAUACCUAAUGUAAGCAAGGACAAUUCUAGGCAAAAUCAUGGGAUAUCUUUUUUUUUUUUUUUUUUAAUGCAAGCAAACAGGGACUCAAUAUUUCCUAUUGUGUUUUCUCACCAUGAUGGCAAUGUCCUCUCAAGAGGAAAAGCAUCAUGCCAUAAGUGCUGUUUCCUUCCAUACAUUUGGAAGGUGAGGCUGAUUUUGUUAAUUCACUUUGACCCUCUACAUCAUGGCUGUAAAUGCCCUCAGAUAUUUGUCAUAGUCCCUAGGUUAUUCUAAAGCUGGUCAUUCAAGAUGUAAUGCAUGUUAACUGACCCUAGAAAGCUACGAUGUAGACGUGAAUGAGCGCUUUUAUCCUUGGCUUCCUUUAUACAUAGUUGAGAAAAGUACAUACUUUUAGGGCAUGAUUCAUCAUUGCUUUGAGGUGAGAUAAACUGCAUACUGUAAGGGCCUUUUUCUCUCUGCUGAUUGUAGGGAGAGGAGGAUGAUUAAUCUAGUUGCAGUCAUGUACAAUGCAAAAUGACACUGUUACAUUCUAGCUAUUAUCUGUGAAGAAUAACAGGCACUUCCAGAUGAUCCCUUCUACCUAUCCUAGAUACUUGGUGUGCCAGUCAAGGGGCCACCCAUGGAUAUCUAGUGUUAUCUUCUGGGAUCCUCCAGUUCCUCCUCAGGUGAGUCCAGUUCUCCUCUAGGUUUCGUGUUGUAUUGGUCAAAACUCUGUGACUGUCUUAGAUACUCUAAAAUAUCUCAACGGGUUCUGAACAUUUACAUGUGGACAACUGUAGUAUUUCCUACCACACAGAGAUGAACUGUCCCUUGGAAGAAAAGGUCUGGUUCUGCUGAUCUUAAAAAGAGUUUAGAUGGCCAGUAUAGCCCCACCCUGUAAUACCAAUCCUGCCUAACUUUCUCAAUAAAGUGAUGUCAGAGGAACAAGAAAAGGAAUGGAAUAAAAUUCUUGUUGAAGAAGUUAGAAUGUGGCUGGAAAAAGCCUCUUGAGCUCAAUCUAUGUCUCCAAUGUUUUCUGUGUGAGGACGAGUGGUAAAAAGUAGUAUUUCAAAAGUACAUUAGCAAGGUUAUUACUACGUAGCUGCUGUGGACUAAGCCAAUCUGUCUUAUUUGUCAUUUUGGUUUUGUUUUAUUUUGUUUUCUUUUAGGAAAUGAGUGGAUUCUGUUAGACCUCUGCAUCUCAGCUGUAUUUCUAAAGACAAUAAAGCUGCAGAAAUAAGCUGAAGAAAAGAAAGCAUUAUAAAAUCAAGGCAACAGAAAAGAUGGCUCUAAUUGCCUGGAUAGAACCUGUUAAAUAGAGACCCAGGUAUGGCAGACUGCCGUGUUAUAGGGCCAGGGGCUGAGAAGACAGAGGACAGAAGCCCAUGCUGUCAUUUAAUCUGAAGUUCGCAGAGGCAUGAGGGCUUUUAUUGAAGCUAUCAAGGUUGUUUUUUUCUUUCACUUUUGUCUGCCAUGCUCUUUUCAAAAGAGACACCAUGUUUGCUGCUUGAGGACAGAUUCCGAGCAGGUUCUGGCCUCAUUCCAGUGCAGCUUUAUUGUACAUUCCCACGUGGGGAUGAGUAGCCCCCAACACCAAACAGUUCAUUUGUCCCAUGACCCAAGAAUUCCUCUUUUGCCAGGUUUCCAUAUUGUUUUCCCAAUGGUGAGUAGAUCAGGCAAUUCCGAUGGAUCAGAGGAAGCCCUUCUUUCAAUCUAUCCAGCAUGCAAGCAAAGUCAGGAUACUGGAACUGCAUGUCCCACAACCAAAGCACUGGCCCUAACUCUGCUGCUGGAGAAGAAAGUGCUUCAAAUUUCAUGUGCCACCUCAGCCAAGUCCAGAAGUGCUUAUAAAAAACAGUGUUAGUG